Molecule: ribosomal RNA, 497 nt
Filed under: uncultured bacterium
Lineage: Bacteria
Description: partial 16S ribosomal RNA
Rfam family: Bacterial small subunit ribosomal RNA
Source: RNAcentral
GAUGAACGCUGGCGGCGUGCCUAAUACAUGCAAGUCGAGCGAACAGAUGAGGAGCUUGCUCCUCUGACGUUAGCGGCGGACGGGAGAGUAACACGUGGAUAACCUACCUAUAAGACUGGGAUAACUUCGGGAAACCGGAGCUAAUACCGGAUAAUAUAUUGAACCGCAUGGUUCAAUAGUGAAAGACGGUUUUGCUGUCACUUAUAGAUGGAUCCGCGCCGCAUUAGCUAGUUGGUAAGGUAACGGCUUACCAAGGCGACGAUGCGUAGCCGACCUGAGAGGGUGAUCGGCCACACUGGAGCUGAGACGCGGUCCAGACUCCUGCGAGAGGCAGCAGUAGGGAAUCUUCCGCAGUGAGCGGAAGCCUGCCGGAGCAACGCCGCGAGAGUGAUGAAGAUCUACGGAGCGUGAAACUCUGUUAUUAGGGAGGAACAAAUGUGUAAGUAACUAGGCACGUCUUGAAGGUACCGAAUCAGAAAGCCACGGCUAACUACGUG